CUCUUACAAAAUUGGUGAACGACCGACAGGAUUUGUUUGGUGGUUUGGCCUAUUCAGUAGAUAAUUUUGACCGGAUGGUCAUCUGGUCAAGUGCCGUAAAUAAUAACUUUUUUGAUUUAACAAUGUUGUGUUUUCAGUUAAAUUACUGUGGGCUGCAGAGGAUCAAGGCAAGGUGGAGGCUGUCGUUGGACCGUAUAAAUUAUAUGACACAUCUUUUCAUACGCUAAAAGGCAACGGCUGGCUGUCUGAUGAAGUCAGUGGGAGCAAUAAGUGUUUAGCAAAUAACAAAGAUUCUUGCCUUUUGCCAAUUUUUUUAUUUUGCUAUGCAAGUAUUUGAUGCAUACAUGCAUAUCCUCAUUGAAAGGCAGCAGCCAAGUGCUGGAUAUAGUUUUUCUCAAUGCAUUUAUUUUUUGCCGGAGUAUAGUUGUAAUGUUGUUACCCCUUUUUUUAACAGGAGCCCAUUCACCAACUCUCUGCUGUGGUAGCUGGGAGUCUGCUUUUGGGAAAAUUUCAGCCUGUUAGAAAGGUAAUCCAUUUCAUGCCAAUAUUUAGCUAUAUUAUUUUAACGCCAGUAACCCAAAAUAACAAUAAUUUGGUAUUGUAUGUUCUUCAGAGGAAAUUCCCUGUUGAAAAAAAAAGUGUAUUUGUCCUGUCCUGUCCUGUAUGCGCUCAUUGGAUUUUAGUGAAUUACACAAAGGAACUAACCUUUUAUAGAUUGUCCACAUUUCUAAGAGAACACUGGUGAUCAACGAUCCCUUGAGUAACGAGGACAAAUAUGAGCAAAAUCUUGCGGAAUUGGAGGAACUUCUUGAGGUUGGCGGGCCGUGAGUUCCAAAUAGAAACUUGGACUACCAAAACUGUGGCCCAUAACAAGCAGCAGAACAACAGUAGCUGUGGGGUUUUCACAUUAAAGUUUGCGGAAGAGUAUAUGGCCAAUGGAGAUCUCAGGCACAACCAGACCCACCUUCCCGAAGUUCUGAAGGCUCGAGGAGAUCUAGCCUGUGCCCUCCUACAGGCUGGGAGUCUGAGAUGUCUAUUUAAAUUAAAAAAAUGUCUCAAAACUUA
Molecule: long non-coding RNA, 1065 nt
Organism: Corythoichthys intestinalis (scribbled pipefish)
Lineage: Eukaryota; Metazoa; Chordata; Actinopteri; Syngnathiformes; Syngnathidae
Exons: 4
Source: RefSeq, a predicted model, not a curated record